GACGAACGCUGGCGGCGUGCCUAAUACAUGCAAGUCGAACGAGAGCGCCCGGUGCUUGCACUGGUCAAUCUAGUGGCGAACGGGCGAGUAACACGUGGGUAACCUGCCCAUCAGAGGGGGAUAACAUCCGGAAACGGAUGCUAAAACCGCAUAGGUCUUCGAACCGCAUGGUUUGAAGAGGAAAAGAGGCGCAGCUUCUGCUGAUGGAAGGACCCGCGGUGCAUUAGCUAGUUGGUGAGGUAGCGACUCACCAAGGCCGUGAUGCAUAGCCGACCUGAGAGGGUGAUCGGCCACAUUGGGACUGAGACACGGCCCAAACUCCUACGGGAGGCAGCAGUAGGGAAUCUUCCGCAAUGGACGCAAGUCUGACGGAGCAACGCCGCGUGAGUGAAGAAGGUUUUCGGAUCGUAAAACUCUGUUGUUAGAGAAGAACAAGUGCUAGAGUAACUGUUAGCGCCUUGACGGUAUCUAACCAGAAAGCCACGGCUAACUACGUG
This 497-nucleotide ribosomal RNA is filed under the name uncultured bacterium. RNAcentral describes it as "partial 16S ribosomal RNA". It matches the Rfam family "Bacterial small subunit ribosomal RNA", at positions 28 to 507 of the family's 1533-position model. The record is from RNAcentral.